Molecule: non-coding RNA, 1598 nt
Organism: Vicugna pacos (alpaca)
Lineage: Eukaryota; Metazoa; Chordata; Mammalia; Artiodactyla; Camelidae
Source: RefSeq, a predicted model, not a curated record
UCCGGCCGACUCCCCAGCCUCGUGAAGUGGGGGCUCCGCUCCAGCAGCAUAGGCCCAGGUCUGCGUCUCAGGACCCCAGUCUAUGAAAUGGGCGUAGUGGAGCGGGCUCUGAAGCCGGGCUUAGGUCCUCUCUGGAGCUGCCUCCAACAUCAGCCUCCCCUUUCACUGCUGGAGAGAAGCCACCAGCCACCUGUUCACCAGCUCACCCCAUGCCACCCCCAACAUCUCAAAUGCGACCUACCUCUUGAGGAAGGGGGUUGAAGGCAUCUGUCUCCCGGAUUGAUCUUCUGUGAGCACAGACCCCACCCCACCCCCACUCCCCGAUGGUCUAGGUCGCAGUUACCCCAGUUGCUCGGACCUCAAGUCCAGGAGUGGGCUGAGGAGAGAGCGGAUGGACACGGUUGUGACGAAGACUGCUCCGAGGGUCUCUUCUGUGCUUUCCUCCGUUCCCAGUUUUCUGAGCAUGAUUCUAGAAACUGACUUAUCAGUACUAGUCCCAAAUCCUGUCUCCCAGCCCUGUCCCUUCCCUUCCCUCCCCCAAACAGGUUGUUUUCAGUUCUGGAAAGCCUAUGGGGGAAAUACGGACAGAGAUGACAAGAACCCUUCCCCCCAACCAAGGCAUCCUGGGCACUGGAAAGAGUGACAAUGAUGGUGGAACCUGGUAGGGAGGAGGGAGGCCCAAAGACAGAGAGGUCCAUUGUCCAUGGAGGGGAAGGAAGGCCAUAGGCCCUGUCCUGUGACACUGACUGUGCCCAGCCACGGGACAUGGGUGGGAGAUGCUAGCCCCCUUUGGACAGCUGAGACCCAGAGGCCCUGCUGAGUUCCGGAUGGACGGGGCAGACAAAAGACAAACAGAACUUGCACAACCACAAGAGAAGGAAAAGCAGUUCAGUUUCUCUACCACCCUACUGCCCUCUUUCUGGCUCUAGGCUACAACAGGGCCACAGAAAAGAGAGAGCAAUGAUGCGAGAAGCAGGAGGCCCUGAACCAGAUUCCUAAAUGCUUCAUGUCUCGGGUCACACCUCCAGCGGAAAAGUAAUAAAGAAAAUGGCAAGAUCCAGAGAGGACACUUCGGAGUUUUCCACGUCACCCUCAUGAAAAUUCUGGGAAGGUUUUGAAUUUUCCAUACGCCAAGACCUCCAGAAAAUUUCUGUUUUUUAGACCAGGACAAUGAUGCAACAAGGGGAGAUAAAGAAAGACAGGGAGUGUCCAUCUUUCUUCUCCAAACAUAUGCUCUCCACCUCUCCAAUGCUCUUGGGCCUCCAAUGGGAGAAUCCUGGCCAGAGGGUAUCCUCUGGGAUAAAAGAAAUAGAAGGGUCAAAGGCCAAAUGGAAGGGGACACAGCAUCUCACACUCAUAGGAACACUAAGAGGUCUUUAUUGCCCACCAGCCACCAUCAGUUCCAUCAGUUUCCCAGCCACAUGCUGGGCCCUCUGGGUCUCUCCAACCACUCUGAGGACCCCCAAAACACAGCCACAGUCCAGCUCUCUCCUUCCGGGGAUCGAGGUGCUCCCUGGGGUAGACAGUGUGGAGGAAGGACCGGAGAGUGAGGGACAGGAAGACCAAACAACAUUUCCUGCGGAGAAAGACAGGAGAGA